UAACACAUGCAAGUCGAGCGGUAGAGAGGAGCUUGCUUCUCUGAGAGCGGCGGACGGGUGAGUAAUGCCUAGGAAUCUGCCUGGUAGUGGGGGAUAACGUUCGGAAACGGACGCUAAUACCGCAUACGUCCUACGGGAGAAAGCAGGGGACCUUCGGCCCUUGCGCUAUCAGAUGAGCCUAGGUCGGAUUAGCUAGUUGGUGAGGUAAUGGCUCACCAAGGCGACGAUCCGUAACUGGUCUGAGAGGAUGAUCAGUCACACUGGAACUGAGACACGGUCCAGACUCCUACGGGAGGCAGCAGUGGGGAAUAUUGGACAAUGGGCGAAAGCCUGAUCCAGCCAUGCCGCGUGUGUGAAGAAGGUCUUCGGAUUGUAAAGCACUUUAAGUUGGGAGGAAGGGCAGUAAAUUAAUACUUUGCUGUUUUGACGUUACCGACAGAAUAAGCACCGGCUAACUCUGUGCCAGCAGCCGCGGUAAUACAGAGGGUGCAAGCGUUAAUCGGAAUUACUGGGCGUAAAGCGCGCGUAGGUGGUUUGUUAAGUUGGAUGUGAAAUCCCCGGGCUCAACCUGGGAACUGCAUUCAAAACUGACUGACUAGAGUAUGGUAGAGGGUGGUGGAAUUUCCUGUGUAGCGGUGAAAUGCGUAGAUAUAGGAAGGAACACCAGUGGCGAAGGCGACCACCUGGACUAAUACUGACACUGAGGUGCGAAAGCGUGGGGAGCAAAC
RNAcentral lists this ribosomal RNA (728 nucleotides) under uncultured bacterium. RNAcentral's name for it is "bacterial SSU rRNA". It matches the Rfam family "Bacterial small subunit ribosomal RNA", at positions 49 to 773 of the family's 1533-position model. The record is from RNAcentral.